ACUUGAGGUGAUUGACAAUUUACUAUUUAUACAAGCUAAGCUUCAAUACAGACUCGAUCGAAUUCAGUGCUUUACAGUGUCUUAGGUUUUACCAACUACGCUGGCCUAGUAACUGUUUUCUGAGCUGGCCUUUAUAACAGUUCUUUUAAAAGUUUGACCUCAAAUCAGGCAAGACUACCCGCUGAACUUAAGCAUAUCAAUAAGCGGAGGAAAAGAAACCAACCGGGAUUGCCCUAGUAACGGCGAGCGAAGGCCAAAAGUCCAAAUUUGAAAUCUGGCGUCCUACGGGCGUCCGAGUUGUAAUUUGAAGAUGGUAACUUUGGGUUUGGCUCUUGCAUAAGUUCCUUGGAACAGGACGUCAUAGAGGGUGAGAAUCCCGUUCAUGGUAAGAUGCCCAUUCCUUUGUAAAGUGCCUUCGAAGAGUCGAGUUGUUUGGGAAUGCAGCUCUAAGUGGGUGGUAAAUUCCAUCUAAGACUAAAUAUUGGCCGAGAGACCGAUAGCGAACAAGUACAGUGAUCGGAAAGAUGAAAAGAACUUUGAAAAGAGAGUGAAAAAGUACGUGAAAUUGUUGAAAGGGAAGGGCUUGAAGUCAGACUUGGUAUUCAGUGAUCAACUGUCUUUCGGGACUGUGCACUCGCUGUUUACUGGGCCAACAUCGGUUUUGGCGGCGAGAUAAAUGCAUUGGAACGUGGCUCUAUCUUCGGAUGGAGUGUUAUAGCCUUUGUAAAUAUCGCCUGCUGGGACCGAGGACUGCGCAUCUGCUAGGAUGUUGGCGUAAUGACUUUAAGCCACCCGUCUUGAAACACGGACCAAGGAGUCUAACGUCUAUGCGAGUGUUUGGGUGUAAAACCCGUACGCGUAAUGAAAGUGAACGUAGAUGAGAACCCCUGAGGGUGCAUCAUCGACCGAUCCUGAUGUUCUCGGAUGGAUUUGAGUAAGAGCAUAGCUGUUGGGACCCGAAAGAUGGUGAACUAUGCCUGAAUAGGGUGAAGCCAGAGGAAACUCUGGUGGAGGCUCGUAGCGAUUCUGACGUGCAAAUCGAUCGUCAAAUUUGGGUAUAGGGGCGAAAGACUAAUCGAACCAUCUAGUAGCUGGUUCCUGCCGAAGUUUCCCUCAGGAUAGCAGAAGCUCGUAUCAGUUUUAUGAGGUAAAGCGAAUGAUUAGAGGUAUUGGGAUUGAAACGAUCUUGACCUAUUCUCAAACUUUGAAUAUGUAAGAAGUCCUUGUUACUUAAUUGAACGUGGACAUUAGAAUGAAGAGCUUUUAGUGGGCCAUUUUUGGUAAGCAGAACUGGCGAUGCGGGAUGAACCGAACGUAGAGUUAAGGUGCCGGAAUGCACGCUCAUCAGACACCAGAAAAGGUGUUAGUUCAUCUAGACAGCCGGACGGUGGCCAUGGCUAUAGUGAGUCGUAUUACAAUUCACUGGCCGUCGUUUUACAACGUCGUGACUGGGAAAACCCUGGCGUUACCCAACUUAAUCGCCUUGCAGCACAUCCCCCUUUCGCCAGCUGGCGUAAUAGCGAAGAGGCCCGCACCGAUCGCCCUUCCCAACAGUUGCGCAGCCUGAAUGGCGAAUGGCGAAAUUGUAAACGUUAAUAUUUUGUUAAAAUUCGCGUUAAAUUUUUGUUAAAUCAGCUCAUUUUUUAACCAAUAGGCCGAAAUCGGCAAAAUCCCUUAUAAAUCAAAAGAAUAGACCGAGAUAGGGUUGAGUGUUGUUCCAGUUUGGAACAAGAGUCCACUAUUAAAGAACGUGGACUCCAACGUCAAAGGGCGAAAAACCGUCUAUCAGGGCGAUGGCCCACUACGUGAACCAUCACCCUAAUCAAGUUUUUUGGGGUCGAGGUGCCGUAAAGCACUAAAUCGGAACCCUAAAGGGAGCCCCCGAUUUAGAGCUUGACGGGGAAAGCCGGCGAACGUGGCGAGAAAGGAAGGGAAGAAAGCGAAAGGAGCGGGCGCUAGGGCGCUGGCAAGUGUAGCGGUCACGCUGCGCGUAACCACCACACCCGCCGCGCUUAAUGCGCCGCUACAGGGCGCGUCGCCUGAUGCGGUAUUUUCUCCUUACGCAUCUGUGCGGUAUUUCACACCGCAUAUGGUGCACUCUCAGUACAAUCUGCUCUGAUGCCGCAUAGUUAAGCCAGCCCCGACACCCGCCAACACCCGCUGACGCGCCCUGACGGGCUUGUCUGCUCCCGGCAUCCGCUUACAGACAAGCUGUGACCGUCUCCGGGAGCUGCAUGUGUCAGAGGUUUUCACCGUCAUCACCGAAACGCGCG
RNAcentral lists this ribosomal RNA (2273 nucleotides) under synthetic construct. Its description in RNAcentral is "eukaryotic LSU rRNA". The stretch from base 178 to 1638 matches the Rfam family "Eukaryotic large subunit ribosomal RNA", at positions 24 to 1888 of the family's 3401-position model. The record is from RNAcentral.